RNAcentral lists this ribosomal RNA (402 nucleotides) under uncultured prokaryote. Its description in RNAcentral is "bacterial SSU rRNA". It matches the Rfam family "Bacterial small subunit ribosomal RNA", at positions 355 to 774 of the family's 1533-position model. The record is from RNAcentral.
UGGGGAAUAUUGGACAAUGGGCGCAAGCCUGAUCCAGCCAUGCCGCGUGAGUGAUGAAGGCCCUAGGGUUGUAAAGCUCUUUCACCGAUGAAGAUAAUGACGGUAGUCGGAGAAGAAGCCCCGGCUAACUUCGUGCCAGCAGCCGCGGUAAUACGAAGGGGGCUAGCGUUGUUCGGAAUUACUGGGCGUAAAGCGCACGUAGGCGGAUAUUUAAGUCAGGGGUGAAAUCCCGGGGCUCAACCCCGGAACUGCCUUUGAUACUGGGUAGCUCGAGUACGGAAGAGGUGAGUGGAAUUCCGAGUGUAGAGGUGAAAUUCGUAGAUAUUCGGAGGAACACCAGUGGCGAAGGCGGCUCACUGGUCCAUUACUGACGCUGAGGUGCGAAAGCGUGGGGAGCAAACA